UAAGAUUUUAAUUGAAUGCUAAGAGAAUGGAUUUACGAAAAAUGACUUUUUUAAAUUCAAUAAUUGAAUUUAUUUUUAUUUGUGAGGAAACAAUAAUAAAUAUUAAGGACAAGAAGACCCUAAGAAUUUUAAAAGAAUUAAUAUUUGAAUCAAAAUUUAUAUCUUUUUAAUUGGGGCGAUUAAGAAAUAUUAAUAACUUUCCUUACUAUACCAAAAUGAACCGUUAAUAGCGGUAAUAUGAUAAAAAUACUCUAGGGAUAACAGCGUAAUAAUUUUUGAUAGUUCAUAUAGACAAAAUAGUUUGCGACCUCGAUGUUGGAUUAGGAUACUUUUUUAAUGAAGAAG
This 345-nucleotide ribosomal RNA is filed under the name Amblyomma longirostre. RNAcentral describes it as "partial 16S ribosomal RNA". Lineage: Eukaryota; Metazoa; Arthropoda; Arachnida; Ixodida; Ixodidae. The record is from RNAcentral.